Molecule: transfer RNA, 69 nt
Filed under: Ovis aries (sheep)
Lineage: Eukaryota; Metazoa; Chordata; Mammalia; Artiodactyla; Bovidae
Rfam family: tRNA
About the family: Transfer RNA (tRNA) molecules are approximately 80 nucleotides in length.
Source: Rfam by way of RNAcentral
CCUGGUGGCUCAGAGGUUAAAGCGUCUGCCUGGAAUACAGGAGACCCGGGUUUGAUCCCUGGGUCAGGA